UUUUAUACAAAUAUCUUUUGAUUCUAUAAAAAUAUCAUUUAUAAUGUAUUGUUUGCAUAAAUUAAAAAUAUAAUUUAAAAUAUAUCAUUGCCGAAAGAAUCAAUUAUAUUUGAUAAUUGUGUCAUUUGUUGUAAGGAAAAGUAUCAUUUACGUUGUCAAAAAAAUUAAACGAAAAAAAAUGGUAAAAAAAUAAAAAAUUAACGGGUCUAAGUCGAAUAGGGCCGGGUGAGCAUGGAUCUGGGCAGGGUAGGACUCGUCUGCACCACGGUCCUACAGGUGACUAGCCCUAACAUUAUACUCCAUCCGUUUAC
RNAcentral lists this long non-coding RNA (311 nucleotides) under Salvia miltiorrhiza (redroot sage). RNAcentral describes it as "long non-coding RNA (SMIL_LNC001063)". The record is from RNAcentral. Lineage: Eukaryota; Viridiplantae; Streptophyta; Magnoliopsida; Lamiales; Lamiaceae.